GAUGAACGCUGGCGGCGUGCUUAACACAUGCAAGUCGAACGGAAAGGCUCCUGCUUGCAGGGGUACUCGAGUGGCGAACGGGUGAGUAACACGUGGGUGAUCUGCCCUGCACUUCGGGAUAAGCCUGGGAAACUGGGUCUAAUACCGGAUAGGACGAGGGCUUGGAUUCCAUUGUGGAAAGUUUUUGCGGUGUGGGGUGGGCUCGCGGCGUAUCAGCUUGUUGGUGGGGUAAUGGCCUACCAAGACGUCGACGGGUAGCCGGCCUGGGAGGGUGUACGGCCACAUUGGGACUGAGAUACGGACCAGACUCCUACGGGAGGCAGCAGUGGGGAAUAUUGCACAAUGGGAGCAAGCGUGAUGCAGCGACGCCGCGUGGGGGAUGACGGCCUUCGGGUUGUAAACUCCUUUCGCUAGGGACGAAGCGCAAGUGACGGUACCUGGAGAAGAAGCACCGGCUAACUACGUG
Molecule: ribosomal RNA, 466 nt
Filed under: uncultured bacterium
Lineage: Bacteria
Description: partial 16S ribosomal RNA
Rfam family: Bacterial small subunit ribosomal RNA
Source: RNAcentral